ACCCUUUUGUAGUUCAUAAGCAUGAUGCAGUCUUUCAGGUGUAUGUGUGAGAUGUGCCUCCCCAAAUCUUGUUCAGACAUUGGCAUAUUACCUCUUUGAUG
Callithrix jacchus (white-tufted-ear marmoset) is the source of this 101-nucleotide small nucleolar RNA. The record is from Ensembl. Lineage: Eukaryota; Metazoa; Chordata; Mammalia; Primates; Cebidae.